ACCAGCGUCCCGCCAAGCAACAAGUAGUUUUAACAACAAAGGUUGAGGUCGGCGCUGAGCACCCUUACUCUUUAAUGAUCUUCUUCCGUAAGGGGGACCUGCGGAAGGAUCAUUAAAGAGUAAGGGUGCUCAGCGCCCGACCUCCAACCCUUUGUUGUUAAAACUACCUUGUUGCUUUGGCGGGACCGCUCGGUCUCGAGCCGCCGGGGAUUCGUCCCAGGCGAGCGCCCGCCAGAGUUAAACCAAACUCUUGUUAUUUAACCGGUCGUCUGAGUAAAAAUUUUGAAUAAAUCAAAACUUUCAACAACGGAUCUCUUGGUUCUCGCAUCGAUGAAGAACGCAGCGAAAUGCGAUAAGUAAUGUGAAUUGCAGAAUUCAGUGAAUCAUCGAAUCUUUGAACGCACAUUGCGCCCCUUGGUAUUCCGAGGGGCAUGCCUGUUCGAGCGUCAUUACACCACUCAAGCUAUGCUUGGUAUUGGGCGUCGUCCUUAGUUGGGCGCGCCUUAAAGACCUCGGCGAGGCCACUCCGGCUUUAGGCGUAGUAGAAUUUAUUCGAACGUCUGUCAAAGGAGAGGAACUCUGCCGACUGAAACCUUUAUUUUUCUAGGUUGACCUCGGAUCAGGUAGGGAUACCCGCUGAACUUAA
RNAcentral lists this unclassified non-coding RNA (646 nucleotides) under Metschnikowia sp. JSKim-2014. RNAcentral describes it as "partial contains 18S rRNA, ITS1, 5.8S rRNA, and ITS2". The stretch from base 296 to 449 matches the Rfam family "5.8S ribosomal RNA". The record is from RNAcentral. Lineage: Eukaryota; Fungi; Ascomycota; Pichiomycetes; Serinales; Metschnikowiaceae.